GUCAAGCGAAUAAGCGUAUAUGGUGGAUGCCUUGGCAGUUAGAGGCGAUGAAGGACGUGUAAGUCUGCGAAAAGCUGUGGUGAGCUGACAAAAAGCAUUUGAGCCACAGAUGUCCGAAUGGGGAAACCCACCGCUUCGGCGGUAUCGUUAGGUGAAUACAUAGCCUAACGAAGCAAACGAGGGGAACUGAAACAUCUAAGUACCCUGAGGAAAAGAAAUCAACCGAGAUUCCCAAAGUAGCGGCGAGCGAAAUGGGAUUAGCCCUUAAGUUACAGUGGAUUUAGCAGAACGCUCUGGAAAGUGCGGCGAUAGAGGGUGAUAGCCCCGUAUGCGAAAGGUCCAUUGUAGUGAAAACGAGUAGGUCGGGACACGUGAAAUCCUGAUUGAAUAUGGGGGGACCAUCCUCCAAGGCUAAAUACUCCUAGCUGACCGAUAGUGAACUAGUACCGUGAGGGAAAGGUG
RNAcentral lists this ribosomal RNA (462 nucleotides) under Schmidingerella taraikaensis. RNAcentral describes it as "partial Bacterial large subunit ribosomal RNA". It matches the Rfam family "Bacterial large subunit ribosomal RNA", at positions 1 to 516 of the family's 2925-position model. Lineage: Eukaryota; Ciliophora; Spirotrichea; Tintinnida; Rhabdonellidae. The record is from RNAcentral.